Molecule: ribosomal RNA, 301 nt
Filed under: uncultured bacterium
Lineage: Bacteria
Description: partial 16S ribosomal RNA
Rfam family: Bacterial small subunit ribosomal RNA
Source: RNAcentral
CAGUAGCCACGGGAAUACGAGGGGGGCAAGCGUUGUUCGGAAUUAUUGGGCGUAAAGGGUGCGUAGGCGGCUUGACAAAUCUUGUGUGAAAUCUAUGGGCUCAACCCAUAGUCUGCACGGGAGACUGCCGGGCUUGAGGAUCGGAGGGGGUGACGGAAUUUAUGGCGUAGCAGUGAAACGCGUAGAUAUCAUAAGGAACACCGGUGGCGAAGGCGGUUACCUGGAAGAUUCCUGACUCUGAAACACGAAAGCCAGGGGAGCAAACGGGAUUAGAUACCCCAGUAGUCCCUGUCUCUUAUAA